UGUUUCGGCUAGGGGGCCAUCCCGGCUUACCAACCCGAUGCAAACUGCGAAUACCGGAGAAUGUUAUCACGGGAGACACACGGCGGGUGCUAACGUCCGUCGUGAAGAGGGAAACAACCCAGACCGCCAGCUAAGGUCCCAAAGUCAUGGUUAAGUGGGAAACGAUGUGGGAAGGCCCAGACAGCCAGGAUGUUGGCUUAGAAGCAGCCAUCAUUUAAAGAAAGCGUAAUAGCUCACUGGUCGAGUCGGCCUGCGCGGAAGAUGUAACGGGGCUAAACCAUGCACCGAAGCUGCGGCAGCGACGCUGAUGCGUUGUUGGGUAGGGGAGCGUUCUGUAAGCCUGUGAAGGUGGCCUGUGAGGGUUGCUGGAGGUAUCAGAAGUGCGAAUGCUGACAUAAGUAACGAUAAAGCGGGUGAAAAGCCCGCUCGCCGGAAGACCAAGGGUUCCUGUCCAACGUUAAUCGGGGCAGGGUGAGUCGACCCCUAAGGCGAGGCCGAAAGGCGUAGUCGAUGGGAAACGGGUUAAUAUUCCCGUACUUGGUGUUACUGCGAAGGGGGGACGGAGAAGGCUAUGUUGGCCGGGCGACGGUUGUCCCGGUUUAAGCGUGUAGGUGUGUGUUCCAGGUAAAUCCGGUUCACUUUAACACUGAGGCGUGAUGACGAGGCACUACGGUGCUGAAGCAACAAAUGCCCUGCUUCCAGGAAAAGCCUCUAAGCAUCAGGUAACAUCAAAUCGUACCCCAAACCGACACAGGUGGUCAGGUAGAGAAUACCAAGGCGCUUGAGAGAACUCGGGUGAAGGAACUAGGCAAAAUGGUGCCGUAACU
RNAcentral lists this ribosomal RNA (827 nucleotides) under Salmonella enterica. RNAcentral describes it as "partial 23S ribosomal RNA". It matches the Rfam family "Bacterial large subunit ribosomal RNA", at positions 911 to 1735 of the family's 2925-position model. Lineage: Bacteria; Pseudomonadati; Pseudomonadota; Gammaproteobacteria; Enterobacterales; Enterobacteriaceae. RNAcentral also lists the same sequence under 1 other name. The record is from RNAcentral.